GACGAACGCUGGCGGCGUGCUUAACACAUGCAAGUCGAACGGGAUUUAGUAGACAGAAGCCUCGGCUAGAGAUUACUAAUGAGAGUGGCGAACGGGUGAGUAACGCGUGAGCAACCUGCCUAUGACAGUGGGAUAGCCUCGGGAAACCGGGAUUAAAACCGCAUAAAAUCGUAGAAACACAUGUUUUAACGGUCAAAGAUUUAUCGGUCAUAGAUGGGCUCGCGUCUGAUUAGCUAGUUGGUGAGAUAACAGCCCACCAAGGCGACGAUCAGUAGCCGGUCUGAGAGGAUGAACGGCCACAUUGGAACUGAGACACGGUCCAAACUCCUACGGGAGGCAGCAGUGGGGAAUAUUGCACAAUGGGGGAAACCCUGAUGCAGCGACGCCGCGUGAACGAAGAAGGUAUUCGUAUCGUAAAGUUCUGUCCUAUGGGAAGAUAAUGACAGUACCAUAGAAGAAAGCUCCGGCUAAAUACGUG
RNAcentral lists this ribosomal RNA (478 nucleotides) under uncultured bacterium. Its description in RNAcentral is "partial 16S ribosomal RNA". It matches the Rfam family "Bacterial small subunit ribosomal RNA", at positions 28 to 507 of the family's 1533-position model. The record is from RNAcentral.